GUUUGACUUUUGAUUAAUAAUAAAAGAAAUCACCAGAAGAUGUUGGCAAGUCGUCCACCUAUAAUAUAUCUGAACUCUUCGAGUUGUUCCAAUAUUAGUGUCGAUUUUCCAAAUGAGACACAAUGUUACACAUCGUUGGCAACCAUUUAUUUGGGCCUUAUUUUGGGCGUGUUUGGGUUAAUUGUCAACUUCCACAUGAUUUGGAUUUACGGGUUUUCUCGGAAACUGAAAUCGUGUUCGGAACAGUUGUUGUUUACUUACGGUAUCCUUGAUUUCGUGAGUUGCGCUAUAACUACAGUUGUUAAUGUACUCCUGCUGAAGAUUUCAGGAACAGUUGCUUGCGUAUCUUAUAUGCUUCUCUACAUGAUGAUGACACGAGUAGCACUUUAUUUGUUCACGUUCGGAGCAGUAGGAAGAUAUUUCAUGAUUUGCGUUCGUCAAGACGAGAGAGGAUUCUAUGGCUACAAGCGGACAAUACUCAUUCUUGUUUUUCUGCUUGCAAUUUCACUAGCCGAGACAAUUUUCCAAAUUUAUGUUGGUUGCAUUAAGUACGACCACGUUUCGGUGCUUUUUUCUGAACAAUAUUCGGACGAUUUACCUGACAAUGGUUCCUCUUGGUUUCUUAUAUCAGUUGUCGUUCUGGACUGGAUCAACUGGGUUCUACUGGUCAUCGUGACUCUAUUCAUUAUAUAUUUGUACUUCCAAAUCGCACAAACUGAGAGCAGUGAGAGUGAUGUACCCGAUUUCAGUUUCCACGAUGAGAUGUAUGAUCAAUUUUCUGAACGGAAAUCAAUAUCAAAAAUGUUCAAACUGUCAACAUUCCUGGCUAUUCUGUUUCUGUACCCACAAGUAAUCGUGCAGGCUGUUGGAUACUACAAGGCUGAGCGACAUAUCGGAGACUUCUUCGUGGAUCCGGGACUGAUGAUAAUGCUUACAAUGGUCUCCGACUUCAUCAACCUGCUCAUGUUUAUCAUGACGCCUGUGAUAAAUUUUUUGGUUAACGUCCAGUUCAGACAGGAGGUGAAACUUAUCUGGACCAGGAAAAUCUGGAGUUGCUGCAGCGAUUGUCACCAAAAUAGAAACGAUUGGGUUUCGACGCUGGAAGAUUGCGAUAUUAACGAGUGAUUUAAAUUGUUGCUGUCAAACGAGAAAAAUCAAAACUACCUGAUUUUGAGGUUAUUAUCAUUUGGGUUGUAGUGGGUUAAGGGUGCGGAAAAUUGGGGGAGGGGGUUGCAUGAGUUGUUUUUCAGCAGCUCGACUCUCUCAAGGCAUCCAUUUUUUACGGCAAAAUUUUUACAAACUUUAAAAAUAUGGUAAGCUUGCCAUCUUUUCCUAAAAUAUUGACUGCCGUGCACAUUUGUUGGCAAAACAAAAUAUAUAGUACGUUUUUUGGAAGAUUACUUAAGAAUCUAUACAAGACAAAAUCUAUUAAGGCACGCCCACUGUUUCGACCCCCCACGCCCAAUGUUCAUUGCAAUGUGAUGUAUUUCGCGUCUCCUACCACAUAGUUUGCUGUAGUUAACGUGCCCAAAUUAUUUUUUUUGCCGCAUUUGCUAUAUGCGUAGAACAGGCCAAAAAUUACGCCAAAUUGAAACUUUUGAAAUUCUUAUAAAUUCACAAAAAAUCACAGGUGAAAUAUCUUUUUGAGUUUGGUCAUUAGAAAUUAAUGUACUCUGAAAAAAGACCCCAGUGAAAAAAUAUCCAUCACUUUUUGAAAGUUGGAUCAAAAAGCAGCGUCUGACAAAACGUUGGGAAGAUUUUUCACAUAAACAUCUGGGGAAUACACUAGUACAUCAAAAACAUAUGAAACAUAAGACUGCCAUUUAGUUUUCCUGGAGUAAUUUUUUUGAAGUAAUGUACUGAGCGAUUAAUUCUCCGCUUACGCGUUAAUAGUUAAAAAGUUUUAAUUAAAGGUUUAGUGGAAAUUCGCUAUUGGUCUAGCUACAAAAACUAUCGAGCGCACAAAUUUCCCGUCACUUUCUUAAAAAUUAGACCAAAAAAGCACGGUGUCAUAUGUAAUUCAAAAAGAUGAAUUUAA
Molecule: long non-coding RNA, 2038 nt
Organism: Symsagittifera roscoffensis
Lineage: Eukaryota; Metazoa; Xenacoelomorpha; Acoela; Convolutidae
Exons: 3
Source: RefSeq, a predicted model, not a curated record